This is a non-coding RNA of Bacteroidetes bacterium CG2_30_33_31, 70 nucleotides long. NCBI's taxonomy places the organism in Bacteria, Pseudomonadati, Bacteroidota. The record is from Rfam.
UCAAAGUGGAGGCCAGAAACCACUUUAAUAAACGGGGCGUAAUCUGAAAAGCCAUAAGAGUAGGAGAAAU